Molecule: ribosomal RNA, 510 nt
Filed under: uncultured bacterium
Lineage: Bacteria
Description: partial 16S ribosomal RNA
Rfam family: Bacterial small subunit ribosomal RNA
Source: RNAcentral
GACGAACGCUGGCGGCGUGCUUAACGCAUGCAAGUCGAACGAAGAGCGAUGGAAGCUUGCUUCUCUCAAUCUUAGUGGCGAACGGGUGAGUAACGCGUAAUCAACCUGCCCUUCAGAGGGGGACAACAGUUGGAGACGACUGCUAAUACCGCAUACGAUCCAAUCUCGGCAUCGGGACUGGAUGAAAGGUGGCCUCUAUUUAUAAGCUAUCACUGAAGGAGGGGAUUGCGUCUGAUUAGCUAGUUGGAGGGGUAACGGCCCACCAAGGCGAUGAUCAGUAGCCGGUCUGAGAGGAUGAACGGCCACAUUGGGACUGGGACACGGCCCAGACUCCUACGGGAGGCAGCAGUGGGGAAUCUUCCGCAAUGGGCGAAAGUCUGACGGAGCAACGCCGCGUGAGUGAUGACGGCCUUCGGGUUGUAAAGCUCUGUUAAUCGGGACGAAUGGUUCUUGUGCGAAUAGUGCGAGGAUUUGACGGUACCGGAAUAGAAAGCCACGGCUAACUACGUG